This 198-nucleotide unclassified non-coding RNA is filed under the name uncultured fungus. RNAcentral's name for it is "partial contains 5.8S rRNA and ITS2". The record is from RNAcentral. Lineage: Eukaryota; Fungi.
AACGCACCUUGCGCUCUAUGGCAAUCCGUAGAGCAUGCCUGUUUGAGUGCCAUGAAAUCUCCCACCACAAGCGGUUUUUAUGAAACGGCUUGGCGGACGGGGUCUUGAUGGUCGCCGCUGCCUGUGCUUAACUGCCUCUGUGCACAUCCCGAUUUCACUUGUGGGCUAAAAUCAGGUAGGAUCACCCGCCGAACUUAA